This 444-nucleotide long non-coding RNA is filed under the name Nicotiana benthamiana. Its description in RNAcentral is "long non-coding RNA (NBEN_LNC039112)". The record is from RNAcentral. Lineage: Eukaryota; Viridiplantae; Streptophyta; Magnoliopsida; Solanales; Solanaceae.
UGCAGCAAGAACAUUACCCUGUCCUCGACCUUUGAUUGGCUCAAAAAUCUUUUCAACAUCUGCAUGUCUAACGGCUUCCCAAUUGACAGAAUCCCUGUUUCUUUCGGUAAGAACACUGGAUCUACCAGUAGAAUAGGUUUUCCUCAAUUUAUCCCAAUCAAUUUCUCUUUUUGGGAAUUCAUCUUUCUUUCUCGAUAUUGUCUUGGGCAAAUUGACCGCUUCAUUUCCUAAAUCACCACUCUUAGCAGAGAUUAUCACUUCUGAAUUUCUUUCGGUAAGAACACCGGAUCUACCAGUAGAAUAGGUCUUCCUCAAUUCAUCCCAAUCAAUUUCUUUUUUUGGGAGUUCAUCUUUCUUUCUCGAUAUUGUCUUGAGCAAAUUGACCGCUUCAUUUCUUAAAUCACCACUCUUAGCGGAGAUUAUCACUUUUGAACUGCAAGAAGU